Molecule: long non-coding RNA, 243 nt
Filed under: Manihot esculenta (cassava)
Lineage: Eukaryota; Viridiplantae; Streptophyta; Magnoliopsida; Malpighiales; Euphorbiaceae
Description: long non-coding RNA (MESC_LNC004918)
Source: RNAcentral
GAAGAAAAGUUUAGGGUUCCAUAUACACCAAGCUUGAAAAUCAAAGGUAAGCUUAGAAAGGUGUAGGAAAUAACAUCUACUCAUUUCUUCAUGCAUGAAUUUGAAUUAUAAAGCUUUAAUUUAUAGUUUAUUCAAUCCUUUCCUAAGACAUAAAUUGACCUAGGUGAAGGAACAUCAAAGAGAAAGGAGAUAGCUAGAGAAUAGAAGAGGAAAAGAAAGGAGAAAUUCAAGAAAGGUUUGGUG